GAUGAACGCUGGCGGCGUGCCUAAUGCAUGCAAGUCGAGCGAACAGAUAAGGAGCUUGCUCCUUUGACGUUAGCGGCGGACGGGUGAGUAACACGUGGGUAACCUACCUAUAAGACUGGAAUAACUCCGGGAAACCGGGGCUAAUGCCGGAUAACAUUUAGAACCGCAUGGUUCUAAAGUGAAAGAUGGUUUUGCUAUCACUUAUAGAUGGACCCGCGCCGUAUUAGCUAGUUGGUAAGGUAACGGCUUACCAAGGCAACGAUACGUAGCCGACCUGAGAGGGUGAUCGGCCACACUGGAACUGAGACACGGUCCAGACUCCUACGGGAGGCAGCAGUAGGGAAUCUUCCGCAAUGGGCGAAAGCUUGACGGAGCAACGCCGCGUGAGUGAUGAAGGUCUUCGGAUCGUAAAACUCUGUUAUUAGGGAAGAACAAAUGUGUAAGUAACUGUGCACGUCUUGACGGUACCUAAUCAGAAAGCCACGGCUAACUACGUG
RNAcentral lists this ribosomal RNA (497 nucleotides) under uncultured bacterium. RNAcentral's name for it is "partial 16S ribosomal RNA". It matches the Rfam family "Bacterial small subunit ribosomal RNA", at positions 28 to 507 of the family's 1533-position model. The record is from RNAcentral.